This 822-nucleotide ribosomal RNA is filed under the name uncultured Campylobacter sp. RNAcentral describes it as "bacterial SSU rRNA". It matches the Rfam family "Bacterial small subunit ribosomal RNA", at positions 563 to 1382 of the family's 1533-position model. Lineage: Bacteria; Pseudomonadati; Campylobacterota; Epsilonproteobacteria; Campylobacterales; Campylobacteraceae. The record is from RNAcentral.
AAGGGCGCGUAGGCGGAUUAUCAAGUCUCUUGUGAAAUCUAAUGGCUUAACCAUUAAACUGCUUGGGAAACUGAUAGUCUAGAGUGAGGGAGAGGCAGAUGGAAUUGGUGGUGUAGGGGUAAAAUCCGUAGAUAUCACCAAGAAUACCCAUUGCGAAGGCGAUCUGCUGGAACUCAACUGACGCUAAGGCGCGAAAGCGUGGGGAGCAAACAGGAUUAGAUACCCUGGUAGUCCACGCCCUAAACGAUGUACACUAGUUGUUGGGAUGCUAGUCAUCUCAGUAAUGCAGCUAACGCAUUAAGUGUACCGCCUGGGGAGUACGGUCGCAAGAUUAAAACUCAAAGGAAUAGACGGGGACCCGCACAAGCGGUGGAGCAUGUGGUUUAAUUCGAAGAUACGCGAAGAACCUUACCUGGGCUUGAUAUCCUAAGAACCUUAUAGAGAUAUGAGGGUGCUAGCUUGCUAGAACUUAGAGACAGGUGCUGCACGGCUGUCGUCAGCUCGUGUCGUGAGAUGUUGGGUUAAGUCCCGCAACGAGCGCAACCCACGUAUUUAGUUGCUAACGGUUCGGCCGAGCACUCUAAAUAGACUGCCUUCGUAAGGAGGAGGAAGGUGUGGACGACGUCAAGUCAUCAUGGCCCUUAUGCCCAGGGCGACACACGUGCUACAAUGGCAUAUACAAUGAGACGCAAUACCGCGAGGUGGAGCAAAUCUAUAAAAUAUGUCCCAGUUCGGAUUGUUCUCUGCAACUCGAGAGCAUGAAGCCGGAAUCGCUAGUAAUCGUAGAUCAGCCAUGCUACGGUGAAUACGUUCCCGGGUCUG